AUACGACCAUACCCACGGGAGAACUCGGGAUCCCGUCCGCUCUCCCAUAGAUAAGCCAGUGAGGGCCGGAUUAGUAGUUGGGUCGGUGACGACCAGCGAAUACCUGGUGUUGUAUG
RNAcentral lists this ribosomal RNA (116 nucleotides) under Colletotrichum liriopes. Lineage: Eukaryota; Fungi; Ascomycota; Sordariomycetes; Glomerellales; Glomerellaceae. The record is from RNAcentral.